Molecule: transfer RNA, 67 nt
Filed under: Quadrula quadrula (mapleleaf mussel)
Lineage: Eukaryota; Metazoa; Mollusca; Bivalvia; Unionida; Unionidae
Description: tRNA-Asn
Source: RNAcentral
AGAAUAAAAGCUUCAAUUAAGCAACUAGCUGUUAACUAGUAGACUACGAUUAACUCGCUUUAUUCUA